AACAAGUGAGAAAAGGGAAAGGCAAAGGCAAAAGGCUAAGGCAAAGCAUAAAGAGAGAGAUUCCCUGUUAAAAAUUGCGGCUCAUAUCAAACAAGCCUAACAAAGAAGCACUCAGCUUUGCCAGAUUCUCCAUCUAUGCAAUUAACAUGAAGAUUAAGAAAGGAAUCACAAUUCAUCAGAUUAUAUUCAGAAUAUCUCUAUCUUCUAUACUCUUUUUUUUUUUUUUUUUUGUAAAGUAAAUUCUAACCAAGAUUUGGGCAGACUUCGAUUCGAUUACCCAAAAAAAAAGUUUGAUUUCUCAUUAAUUUUACUUGGUCGACAACUCGACAAUGCUGAUAAGUUUUUAUGUUUUACACUCAAUGCCAACCUGCUAUCAGGAAUAAUUUGUUGGAAGAUCGUAUUUACUUUAGAUCUUUAAGUCACAUUCAGAUUCAAUAUUUGUUCA
Molecule: long non-coding RNA, 445 nt
Filed under: Prunus persica (peach)
Lineage: Eukaryota; Viridiplantae; Streptophyta; Magnoliopsida; Rosales; Rosaceae
Description: long non-coding RNA (PPER_LNC005409)
Source: RNAcentral